Dipodomys ordii (Ord's kangaroo rat) is the source of this 104-nucleotide small nuclear RNA. The record is from Ensembl. Lineage: Eukaryota; Metazoa; Chordata; Mammalia; Rodentia; Heteromyidae.
GUGUUCACUUGGGCAGCACAUAUACUAAAAUUGGAAGGAUACAGAGAUUAGCAUGGCCCCUGCGCAAGGAUGACUCACAAAUUCAUGAAGUAUUCUAUAUUUUA